UGCAGGGGAGCCAGAUACCCGACUGUGAGCCGCUGCCUGUGGAUACCUAUCCCAAAUGCCAGAGCAGGCGAGAACCACAGACACAUUUCACCCGCUGGCAGUCAACGGAGUAAUUGUUUUUCGUAAUGUUUGCCUCCCCCCGCCCUCUCGCGCUCUCUAUUUCAAUCUCUGCUUCAAAUGAGGAGCUUCCUUGGACUUGGACCGGGCAUCAGUAGGGAAGAAGCCCGCUAUCCCACUCUGCUCCUUGCUGCUGCGGCGCUGCUGCCUGUGAGCGCGUCCUCUCGCUACUUUGGAAUAUACUGUGUGCCUAUAUGCGCCAAACCAUGGAGAUUAUAUGACGUGGAUUUAUUUUUCUAAACAAAACUGGACAUCUACAAUAAGGACGUCCCUCUUGUUUUAUCUGAUUUCCAUUGCCUUUUUUUGCGUUCUUCUGUUCUCUCGUUUGAUCUAGAAGGCGACUUUAUGAUUUCAUUUCCUUAGCGAAUUUUUUUUUUUCUAUUUGUCUAUUCAUUUAUUUAUUUUCUACACUUUUUUAUAUCAUAUUUUCUGGUCCGUUUCGGAGGCGCAAGUGGGAUGCCUCACAGAGAACAUUUGUGGGGAGAAGAUUCUGCUCAGCAGCGAGACUGAAUGAAUGAUAGUCUCCCUCUCCAUCUGAGACGUGCCAUGGAUGGGAAACUUAAUUUUUUCCACGGAACCGAUCGGGGAAUAGCCGUCGCAUCAAAUAACUAGGCUACUGCUAACAGUGAUCAGGACGAAUGUCAUAGGAUGAACACUGCUGGUGGGGUGUGUCUGUCUGUGCUGCCCUCUCUCCUGGCUGUGGCUGGGGCUCUGGCUGCCGUUUCUGCCCUCGCUCUAGCGCCUCUCUCUGCCCUGGCUGAGGCGGCCUAUGGGGCUGCCGAUGGCAUCCCCAGCACCGCGGCAGAGGGGGCCCCCUCACCCGUCUCUACACCAUGCUCCAGCCUUGUAGCUGGGGUGCUCUAUGGGUCUUUCUCCCUAAGGGAGCUAUUUCCCUCCAGGGCGCCGGGCUGUUCUUGGUCCCUGGAAAACCCAGAUCCCACCAAGUACUCCCUCUACCUCCGCUUCAUCCGCCACCCUGUGAUCUGUCGGACUCACUCCCCCAUGCUCCUCUCCCUUGACCACCAUCUGGCAAAUCAAAGCUGUCCCCUUCAUUUACAGACGGCCAUUGCCAGGGAUCAGGAAGUCAUUAAUCUCUGUGGCAGCGAAUCCACCUCAGAUGGACCUUAUUCCUUCCUACAGUUUGAUAAGAACUUUGUCCAACUGUGUCUCACGAGACACCCAGCUGCUGAUGAGCCUCAGGUAACCAAGGAAUUGCUAGAGCUGAGACUGGUGGAGGUGUUACUCAUUAAUAACGAGAACUCCAGUCAGUUUACCUGCGGUGUGCUCUGCCGAUGGUUUGAGGAGUGUUUGCGCACAGGACACAAUGGAGAUCAGGAGGUUUCUGAUGCGGAUGGUUGCGGGAUGACCCAGACGGGAUGUAUCUGUCCAAAUCACAACAUCAUGGCACCACCUGUUCCGCUGCUCCCACAGACACCUCACAGUUUCAGCAACGGUUCGCUGGUUCCUGAUGACUGCUGUGUCACUGAGCUGCAUUCCAAUGAUGCGAUCGCCAUAGCACCCAGAGAUGUCCGACAAGAUCCAUAUGAUGAUGAUCUGAAGGUGAAGACCCAAAGACCACGAUCAGCUGACCAACCAGGUGUGUUUCAGGCACAAACAGGUGACCCUGCAGCAGAGGAGUGGUCACAGUGGAGUGUGUGUUCGCUCACGUGCGGGCAAGGCUGGCAGGUGAGGACUCGAUCGUGUGUUUCUUCGCCCUAUGGGACAUUGUGCAGCGGCGCCCUGAGGGAAACACGCAUGUGCAACAACACCACUUCCUGUCCAGGGGAACCCGGGAUCACGGGCUCAGUGGAGGGCCAGUGGUUGGAGUGGGGGCCAUGGUCAAGAUGCAGCAUCACUUGUAAUACGGGCACCCAGGAGAGGCAGAGACGCUGCAGCGCGUCGGCGCAUGGCUGGGCCGAAUGUAAGGGCCCCCAUCAGGAGAGCAGAGACUGCGCCAACCCUUCGUGUGGUGGUGGAGGUAACUGGGGCAGCUGGAACCACUGGAGUCUCUGCAGCAAGACAUGUGACUCGGGUUGGCAGCGUCGCUUCAGGAUGUGCGAGGGUACUGGUGUACAGGGCUACCCCUGUGACGGCUCAGGGGAGGAGGUCCGCUCCUGCAACGAGAAGAAGUGUCCCGCUCCUCAUGAGAUAUGUAAAGAUGAGCACAUCCUCUCCAUGUCAUGGAAGAGAGCCUCAGCUGGAGAAACCGUCUACAACAAGUGUCCAACUAACGCCACUGGAUCUGCUAGUCGUCGUUGCAUGCUGGACAAUAAUGGAGUUGCUUUCUGGGGUCCUCCGAGCUUCGCCAGAUGCGUCUCACUUGAAUAUAGAUAUUUACAUUUAUCUUUACGAGAGCAUCUUGCGAAGGGUCAGAGGACCCUGGCCGGGGAGGGCAUGUCUCAGAUCGUAAGGACUCUCCUGGAGCUCUUGCAGAGGGGGAGCUACUACAGUGGCGACCUUCUCUUUUCCACGGAGAUCCUGCGAAAUGUGACGGACACCUUCAAAAGAGCAACCUACAUCCCAGCUCCCGACGACGUGCAGAAAUUCUUCCAGAUUGUCAGUCACAUGUUGGACAUGGAAAAUCUAGAGAAAUGGGAGGACGCUCACCAGGUCGCUCCGGGUGCCGCUUCGCUGAUGAGGACAUUAGAGGAUUUCAUUCACCUCAUCGGCGAAGCCCAGAAGCCUUUUCAGAGUUUUCUAGUGGCUACAAACAACCUCAUGAUAACCAUCCAACGAGAGCCAGUGUCAGCCGUUUCCAGUGAUAUCAACUUCCCCAUGAAGGGCCGGAGAGGGAUGAAGGAUUGGGCCAGAACAGCAGAGGACAAGCUCUUCAUCCCUAAAGAGGUCUUCACCAUCCCUACAGAAGAGACAGAGACGGAUUCAGAGGCUCCAAUGUACUACGUCAUCGGAGCCAUCUUGUACCGGACUUUGGGCGUCAUCUUGCCAGUGCCAAAUCCCCCUGCGGUGAUCAACUCCAAGAUCCUGACAGUGACGGUGCGACCGGAACCGCAACCCAGUGAGCCCAUGGUGGUGGUGGAGCUGUCCCCGCUUUUGAAUGGUACAUCUGAUCCUCAGUGCGUUGUCUGGGACUAUGGCAACCCGGAACCUGGCGCAGAAAACUGGGGCAUAGAAGGCUGCCAAACGCUCGCGUCAUCCACUGUCCACACCAAAUGCCUGUGCAGCAGGAUAUCCACCUACGCCGUGUUAGCGCAGCAAGCUAAAGACCCGGACAUGGGUCCUACCAGCAUACCCUCUGUGCCCCUCAUGGUGGGCUGUGGAGUGUCCUGCACAGCUCUCCUCAUCCUGCUGCUGAUCUAUGCUGCCUUCUGGAGGUACAUCCGUUCGGAGAGGUCGAUCAUCUUGGUGAACUUUUGCCUCUCCAUCCUGGCCUCCAAUUUGUUGAUUUUGGUCGGACAAUCUCAAACGCUUAGCAAGGGCCUCUGUACUGUGACUGCUGCUUUCUUGCAUUUCUUCUUCUUGGCGUCCUUCUGCUGGGUGCUGACAGAAGCAUGGCAGUCCUACCUGGCCGUCAUUGGCAAAAUGAGGUCGCGGCUCAUUCGCAAGCGCUUUCUGUGCCUCGGCUGGGGUCUUCCAGCCCUCGUUGUCGCAGUGUCAGUGGGUUUCACCAGAGCAAGAGGUUAUGGCACCGUCAGUUACUGCUGGUUAUCCUUGGAGGGCGGACUGCUUUAUGCCUUCGUUGGGCCUGCUGCAGUCAUUGUGUUGGUGAAUAUGCUCAUUGGAAUCGUGGUGUUUAACAAGCUCAUGUCUCGAGACGGCAUCUCAGACAAGUCUAAAAAGCAGCGAGCGGGUGUCCCAGCGGAGGCUCGUAGCCGACUGCUCCUGAAAUGCUCCAAGUGUGGCGUGAUCUCAAGCACCGCUCUGUCCAGCUCGACUGCCAGCAGUGCCAUGGCCUCUCUGUGGAGCUCCUGUGUGGUUCUCCCUCUGUUAGCAUUAACCUGGAUGUCGGCAGUGUUGGCCAUAACCGACCGGCGCUCCACACUCUUCCAGGUCCUUUUCGCCGUCUUUGACUCUGUCCAAGGUUUUGUCAUCAUCACCGUUCACUGCGCAAUGCGCCGAGAGGUGCAGGACGCAGUGCGCUGUCGGAUGGGGGGAUGUAAAGACGACAGCGAAAACUCACCAGACUCCUGCAAGAACGGACAGGUGCAGAUCAUGAAGGGUCCAAAUGUGAUCUACCACGGGCAGCAGUGUGGUUCUCUGCGUUACGGCACAUCCCCGAGCCUCUUGGCUUGCCACCCGCAGCUUCUCCCACCGUCGUGCCACCAGGCAUGCCAGCAAGGCUGUUACCACAGUCUGCCCCGCAGCAACCACAACCCCGGGCUAGACCACACCAACGCCCUCAGCCAUGCACAUGAGCAUAACCCCAUCCUGAACAAUACCCACAACCAUGCUCAUAACCAUAACCAUGCCCUCAACCACAUCGGCAGACAACCAACGGAUUUUGAGAAGGAUGUGGACUUGGCAUGUCAAACAGAGAGAGGACACCCAUUCAUUUUCAAGGAGGUCAACACCUGUAACCCGGCCACCAUCACUGGGACCCUUUCUCGCAUCUCUCUGGAUGAUGAAGACGAUCCAAAGCUGGCAGCCCAUCAGGAGGGAGGAGUUGGAGUCAACUUCAGCUCCCUCCCUGGAAACAUUCCCCCUCCCAACCUCAUUGUACAGGUUCCACCACUAGGAGGCCUCAAUGAGCUGAGUGAGACGCCCUUAAAGACGGAGGUGAAUGUGGAUCAGCAGAGACAGCAGGGGCAGCAGCGCAGCGGAGCUCCAAUCUACCUCUGCACUGAGAGUGGCCUGGGCUGGGCGCGCCCGCCCGCUUCCUCCAACAAUUCCCAGGAUGGAAGUGCUGGAAGUGGAGGAAGUGGAGGGGGUGGUGGAGAAAGUGGCGGAGGAGGGGAGGGAGACUACAUGGUCUUACCUCGUAGGACGGUCAGUCUCAAGCCCCCAGUGCCCACCUCCCAAGGAGGCCUGGGACUGGGGGGCGAGGACAAGCCUCUCAACAUUGUGGUGGAAGAUCCCCCCUUCCCCCCACCUCCCUCUCCCCUGACCCUCCACCCGGCUGAGAGCGAGGCCUACCCGGCGGAUUUUGUGCCGUCCAGUGUGGGCAACAUGAACAUUACCAUGAACCUAAACCGCUCCUAUGGGACAAUCAAAACCAUGCCCCACGGGCACGGCCACAUGAUGGCUCAGGGUGGUCUUGUACACUCCCACGGAGGACACAUGCACUCCCACGGGCACUCACUCCAGCUGAAGUCGGGCCAGAGGCCGUCAGUCAGACAGAUUCUGACGGGGGGACCUACGGUGGAGAGAACCAGGACCCUGCCACGUAACCUGGGUAGCACCAACGCCAACAGCAGCCUCUCAGCAGGAUCCCUGGAGAGGAAGAGAGUACGGUACUCUGAGCUGGACUUCGAGAAAGUGAUGCACACUCGCAAAAGACAUUCUGAGCUGUACCAUGAGCUCAACCACUCGUCCAAGUUCCACACCAUAGACAGGUAUAGCAGGGACGCAGCCAUGUCCACAUUCAAGGUCCCACCUCCCCCUCCACCGAGGCACAACAUCGAGCCAUCGCUCGUACGCAGAACGUCCCUCGUUUACAAAGAGAGUCAACGUAAGACAAGCUAAACCCUGCAUAAAGCUCGUGCAGUAGAGCCCCCUCUAACUCACUCUAAAGCAGGCCGAUGAGUUGACGUGUUACAUGUCACUGUAUGUGUCCCAUAGUUUGCCACUGUUUGUUCUGCAGCUGUGUUUUCAUGCUGUAGUUGUUUCCUGUGUGGUUGACUGUUGGUUAAAUGCCUCCUGCUAGAGUUUGUGAAAUCAUAGCUUAGCAACUGUAACCAUAGCCAUGGCAGGCCUGUCAAGCUUUGGAUUUCUUCACACGGUGGGUGAUACUCUGCAUUUACAGUAAUGCAUUUUGGGGUUCUAAGUUUUUUCAAUACCAAAACUGAGGAGUGAAAGUUUAAGAACUGCCAUUCAUCUCCUCUAUGUGAACAAGCAAUUACUAACGGGUCCAGUUUAUUAUUGUGUAUAGUAACUGAGCUUUACUAUAAAAAGGCCAUGUUCAUGACUAGCACAUUCACCGUGUGCUCUUUCCUACUGUCUGGAAGAUGGUCCAGGACUGAUAUCCUUUAGGCUAACAACAGCAGUCCUGCUCCUUAUUAGAUUGGAUGAAGUUUAUUCUCAAAUAACCUGAGAUGGAUUUACGUUUGCCAAACUCAACAAAUACAACAUAACACAAAAAGGGAAAGAAACAUAUCAUUACAUUUCUGAAUAUGGAAAGUAAUACCAGAACUAUCUAAUAGAUGGAUCCUGGGACAUGCAGCUUCAGUUUCAUUUCAGCAUAAUAUCAUGUGUAAAGCCAUUAAAGGCAUAUUUAAGUUAAGACCUUCCUUUGAAACGAUUAAAAAAUAGCUGAAAACAUUAAAGUCAGCCCAAAACUGAUUUAAAUGAUCUCACAAUGCUAUUAAAAAUUGGUCUAUCUGUCUUUGACAUUAAAAAGCCAUUGUUACUAAUGUUCUGUGUGAGAACUGAAAACUUGACAGGUGUAGCAGCAGUAACUCGGGGACAGGGCUUAGCCAACAGUCAGUUCCGAAUAUUCGACUUCGGUCAAACAUUACAUAUGAGCGUAUAUGUGACACCAAAGCAUGCUGUCAAGACAUUAAAAUUGCAUUAAUAUAAACAGUGUCAAACUAUACAUUUGCUCCAUGUAGCUGCUCAUCUACUUCCUGUCUCAUGGUGACUGUAUUCGAUGAGCCUUAUUGGUAGAUGUGGUGGUGGUUCAAUUUAGUGUAUCACAGCUUCUACCCUUUAUUCCUCAGUAUCUAUUCACUGAAUGCUGGUUCCCUUCCAUCAACUCCUAUACAAAUUCAUAUUGAAGUAUACAAGCUGGAAUCACCAAAACCAGAGAGAUGAAUUUGUAAGGUGGUCUGAUGCAAGACCUGAUUUGUCUCCCAUGAUAAAACAUACAUUCCUGAGUGAUUUAUUUGUUGUUGUCUCUGUUUUGGGGUUGUGGUUUCAUCAGUGUUGGAUACUUGAUCCAUACAGUCACGGUGUCCAUUUCAGUGCCUGAGUUGAACCGUGUGACGUAAACACCCUAAACAAGUGAUAAAUGAGUUCAUAAAGACAAUGAGUCAUCCACAUCAAUUCAUAAUCACCUCAUAAACCAUGAUAUUCCAUCUAUAAACAAGCUCAUUGGCACUGAAAAAGUCCAAAACACGAUGAACGCUGUAUGGGUGCUGAUGAGAGAAUAUCACAAAGGCUUAUGUGGUCAAAUGAGACCUGAUCCAUUUCACUUCUGUGGAAAGGUAGGAUCUCUGUGGUGGCUGUGUUUAGGAGAUGAGUGAAUAUCAGAAAAUGUCUCACUUUUCUUCUUUUUUUUUUUCUUUGACUGUCACAUUUUUCACAUCCAAUUUUCUGUGUCAGUGCAGUGGGCUUAAGGUGGUCUUUGGCAUUACACGUGCCAUCACAGAUAGAAUCCACACACUUCAAUAUCUUGAUUUCAUGCUUUUCUUGCGUUUCCUCCUCUCUCCAUAUAGCUCCCUCACACUCUUUUUAACCAUCCGUUGCCCGGUAACUACAAAUCCCUAUACUUACCACACCGACAGAAAUAAGUUGUCAAGUGAUGACUCCGUGUUAGGCUGAAGAAAUGGAAACAAAGGGAGAAGACAUUACCGGAAAGAUGGGGGAUGCAGACACUAUAUAUCUAGAGACUCCCUAUUAACCUCAAUGUAGAAAAUCUCCUUGUCUGCCUUUUCUAUUAGGCUGCUGAAGCUGGUGGAGCGAGUCUGGUACGCUGAGAAAUAAAUAGAUGUACAUGUUGCCCUGUUACAAUUUCUGUUAUUAUUCAAAAACAUACAGUAUACGUGAACCUUAAAAUUCUACUCUGCAACAUGUCCAACUGUUAAACUCUGGCUAAGACAGGUCACUCGCAGCCUGUGACACAGGCAUAUCUCUGUGCUGGAGUCAGGCACCCAUGUGCAUUUCAAAUGCAAAAAGAUGCAUACGAAUACUUUUGCAUUCUUUAAUCCAGUGACAGAGGUCACAGUGAGAUAAUAUUAUAUUCUUUGCUACUAUUUUACAGUGGCCGACCUUGAAUCAAACUUUUUUGAAUAUGCUUUAUAAACACACGUUUGCCCCUGUAAAACUAUUGUGAAUAGAAAGCAGCUUCAGCUUCACAUUCUUCACCAAGAACAUAUUCAAAUCCUGUUCUGUUUUAAGUACAGUGCAUGCUCUGGCAGAAGCCAUACGGCCAACAGGGGGAUGGAGUCCAUUGUGUCUCCCCUAAUGGAGACAUGAUACAGAUGAAGUCAGUGGGGUUACUGAAAGACAGAGUAUGCCGUGUGUAUGCAACGCAGUAUGUUUUAGCAUUCGUGGCUGCUCUAAUAUUUAGCCUCUUGGUCUUUGUCAUUGUGGAACAAGCCUGUUGUUCUCUAUCCUCUCCACAGGGUUCCGAAGGUCAUAACACAAAUUUGCAUGCAGUGCCCAAUGAUGCAGUGUCGUGCCUCUCUGUGUGUGGGAUGUGUGUAAGAGAGAGACUGCAUAAUGGCCUGGCUGAGGCAUUUUUCUAGCUUUUAAAUGAGAUAUAUUUCCAUCUCAUCAUCUGCUCUCCUCCGCUGUGUUCUUGAUUAAAUGAAUGUACUUGGCUUCUCUCUCCAGAUAGACAGUGAGAAAUUGUGGUGAACGCAGCGGGAUAGAGAGACAAAGGAAACCACUAUACUAUACUUUGCUGCGAUUUCACUCAUUCUAGAUCAGAGCAGGGACUGCAAGCAAAUUUCAGAUUAUGAAAGACGUAUUUGCAAGUCAAUCAAAAUGGUUGCAGGCGUAUGUGUGUAUGUGAAUCCUACAACGAAAUCGUAGUGGAUUCAGCUAUGCAUGGAAAUGUAUUGUGGUAUGGUCCAGGAGGGUUUUCUUCAUUAGCCUGCGCCAUAAAAGAGAGGUGAGACCUGGGGUGCUCUCUUUAUGCAUCCGCAGUUAACAUUAGUGUCUGUUAUUGACUUUUCUGCAGUUUUGAGGCCACUGGAGGGAAAUUUAGCUAAGGUAAUAUGAAUGUUUUGAGGAUGACUCAUGUAAAAUGAAGAUGUACAAUUUUAAAUGACAAAGACCCAAUUUUGUUGAUUCACUGAGGGCAAUUUGCCUGCACUUGCAAACCCUGUAGGUUUUCAUAGUCAAUUUGCUGGCAUUAAGCUAAGGGGCUUCAAUUACACAUUCCAGCAAUAAAGCAAGCCCUCCCCUCUUCUUCCUCUUCAUAUUUCAUUCACCCUCUCUUCAUUCUCCCGGCUUGACAUUUUCCUCUCUUGCUGUCUCCCUCAUCUUUUCCUAUUUCUCCCCCACUAAACUCAGCCCUCGGUGGCAAGUUUGCGGCAUUAAUUGAAUAAUUAAUUCCUCUCAUUAGCUUGUUUUUAAUUAUUUCCUUGCCCCCAUCCCUGUGCCAAGUAUAAACUCAUCAACUGUUUUCAUCCCUCCACAUAAAUUGCCCAUGAAAACUGAGGUCUGGCGGAGUGUAGCUCCUGCACACUGGCUCUAUCAGUGGCUCCUAAUGAGGGGACGGUUAGCCCAGGCGGAACAAGCCUAACACUGGCUUCAUGCACCAAGAGGCACAAUACUAAUUUAGCUCAUUUAGUGUCCUUGCGCCAAUUAAAGGGAGGUGAAAAGGGCCAAAUCCGCUGGCCGGAACUGUUUUCACUAUAGGAACAGUGGCCCUGGACUGCAGCGCGCUGCACUGCACAGGCCAGGGCAGCAGCGAACCAAGCCUGUGUCUGAUUGCUCGUUUGUUUGCAAUGUGUUGCACUAAUGGAAUUUAUUUGCCCUACAUUCUUCAGAUUUGGUUCUUUUGAAGGGCCUUAUUACUUGUUACACAAAUUCCUUUCCUGCUAAGGGGUAAAUGGUGCUAAAGACUGUUUUGCCCACUUAGUCUAUUUUUGUUCCUCCCAAUAAAUUAAGCUGUUGCUGAUUUGGCAAUCUGGAUUCUAUCAUUAUCUUGAUGAUAUAAUGAUACAAGCAAACAAACACAUAGGAACUUUGAAAUACUCCAGUUCUGGUUCAAUGACUCAAAAGCCCACUGUAAGAUCACAGUCAUGUUCUGGUAUCCACUCAAUCUACUCCUGCGUUGUUUGAUGUUACUUUUGUGUCCUUUACAUAUAAAUGUGAUUUAAUUUUGUUUCAUGUGGACCUCACACUCAUGUGUAUGUCUUUUCUUUGAUUUACUGCUACAUUUUAUUGAUUUCUGUUUUUGUUUCUGUUUUAAUGUCCUUUGUUGGCUGACUGGGCCUUGUGUUGCAUGUUUGUUCUCAUGUCUCAGUUUGAAUGUAGCCAGACACUCAGCAGAACCAUGGGCAUCCAAGUCAACAAAGGACAAGUCAACCCCAGAGAUCCAGAGCUCCUGGGACGGCUUCAAGACCAUGACCCCCGAGCUGUCCAUCGUGCCUGGGGAGCAGAAGGACCGC
This is an RNA transcript of Scophthalmus maximus (turbot), 10574 nucleotides long. It is a transcript of the gene named adhesion G protein-coupled receptor B2, with no coding region annotated. Lineage: Eukaryota; Metazoa; Chordata; Actinopteri; Pleuronectiformes; Scophthalmidae. The record is from RefSeq and is a predicted model, not a curated record. The transcript is spliced from 35 exons.